Culex pipiens pallens (northern house mosquito) is the source of this 273-nucleotide long non-coding RNA. RefSeq lists it as uncharacterized. Lineage: Eukaryota; Metazoa; Arthropoda; Insecta; Diptera; Culicidae. The record is from RefSeq and is a predicted model, not a curated record. The transcript is spliced from 2 exons.
GAUACUUGAUCAUCCAUAUUCAAUAAAACAUUAUUUCCGUCAUUAUAUUUAAGAAAAACAAACAUAACUUCUUUUGAAAUCACCAACGUCUAUAUCACCCUGCUGACCAGGCCUGCAAAAAGUUUCCAACCCAGCGUACACAUGAAGCAAACCAAAAUGUCAGUUCACUGCUAGCAUGUGACUGUAAGCCUACUGUGUCCGUUCAACCACUGCCGCCUGACUCGUGCCGGUCGGCUGCUGGAGAAUGCGAGACGUGAAAAAAUGAGCUACACU